Vicia faba (fava bean) is the source of this 201-nucleotide non-coding RNA. Lineage: Eukaryota; Viridiplantae; Streptophyta; Magnoliopsida; Fabales; Fabaceae. The record is from the annotation of a GenBank genome assembly.
AUGAUUUUGUUCAUUUCUAUGGUCAUGCUUUCAGGUUUAUCAAAUGGUGAGUAUAGUCUUAUGGAUAUAAAAUGUCAUGAUGGUAACUGCGCAAUUUAUGGAGAAUGCAAUACUGUUUGUAUUAAAAAUGGAUUUAAGAAAGGUGGUACCUGUCGAUUAAUUUUUCCUAAAUAUUUGAAGUGUUGUUGUACUGUAGGAUGA